This 63-nucleotide transfer RNA is filed under the name Laxta sp. AUS2. RNAcentral describes it as "tRNA-Thr". It matches the Rfam family "tRNA". From Rfam's summary of the family: Transfer RNA (tRNA) molecules are approximately 80 nucleotides in length. Their secondary structure includes four short double-helical elements and three loops (D, anti-codon, and T loops). The record is from RNAcentral. Lineage: Eukaryota; Metazoa; Arthropoda; Insecta; Blattodea; Blaberidae.
GUUUUAAUAAUUUAAAUAAAAUAUUGGUCUUGUAAACCAAAAAUGAGAUUUACUCUUAAAGCU